GGUGGCUCAGUGGUAGAGUGCUUGCCUUGCAUGCAUGAGUCCCUGGGUUAAAUUUCUCAGCACCA
Dipodomys ordii (Ord's kangaroo rat) is the source of this 65-nucleotide non-coding RNA. Lineage: Eukaryota; Metazoa; Chordata; Mammalia; Rodentia; Heteromyidae. The record is from Rfam.